Molecule: long non-coding RNA, 228 nt
Filed under: Mytilus galloprovincialis (Mediterranean mussel)
Lineage: Eukaryota; Metazoa; Mollusca; Bivalvia; Mytilida; Mytilidae
Source: RNAcentral
CAACCUAUUAAUUAUGAUUUAAAGACAUAUUGUGCAUUAUAACUUACCUUAAGAAAUAAAUUGCAAACACUUGACAGUAUGACUUAAUCUUUUCAUGAUAUGUAAACAUGAAAACUAAGGAACUAAGCUUAGUCCAUGCAUGCAUGGACGAAGGUAACUAACGUUACUUAGUCCAUGCUUGCAUGGACUAACACAACAGACUUAGUCCAUGCAUGCAUGGACGAAGGC